UAUCCAGACCUGCUCAGCUUCACCAUUUAGCUUCAAGAGUUUUACUAUUUUUCCUCUUUUUUUAGGGCUUAAUGCUAGUAGUGCCACAGAGAUUCUGAGGAAAGACUCUGCAAGUUGGUGUGCAGCAAAUCUGCAGAGAAACAGGGGCUGCUGGAAGAAACCUGAUCUAGGCUACUCCCCUGUAAUUUUCCACCUGGGCAGACAAGGAGGAAAGUACUCAGCAAACCAGAACUUCCAGGGCUGCCUCUGGAACAGAGCAUUCCAAUAACAGACCUGCAAAGGCUCCUGCAGGUACAAUUGCCAGCUGAGUGCCCAAAAAGCACUUGGAAACCAGCAGCUCUGCAUUUGACCCAGCCUUCAACUUGUCAAAGAGACAGCACUGGUGUCUUUAUGGCUUACAGGGUGGAUCAAGCUCCCUCCCUACUUGGUGUGAGACAGAACCCUCUCCAUAAGCCAAGGAAGAAGUUUAAAAAAAAAAGCUACAACUGUAGAGAGAGCUAAAGACUCGCUCUGUUUUUCUGCUCUUUUAAUGCUAGCACUGUGCUAGUUGUUUGGUACUUUAUUACUUUUGUUUCCCUGUUUAUGCACCUGCUUGAGCUCUCAGUAAACACAGGUUUCACAAGUAUAAAUAAAACAUACAUGAAAUA
Haemorhous mexicanus (house finch) is the source of this 647-nucleotide long non-coding RNA. RefSeq lists it as uncharacterized. The record is from RefSeq and is a predicted model, not a curated record. Lineage: Eukaryota; Metazoa; Chordata; Aves; Passeriformes; Fringillidae. The transcript has 2 exons.